Molecule: long non-coding RNA, 1738 nt
Filed under: Bos indicus x Bos taurus (hybrid cattle)
Lineage: Eukaryota; Metazoa; Chordata; Mammalia; Artiodactyla; Bovidae
Description: lncRNA (ENSBIXG00005019711.1)
Source: RNAcentral
GGCUUCCACGUGUGUAAGACGAGUGGCCCAGCUGCUCUUGGGUGUUUCUUGAUUCUUCAACAGUCCUUGGGCCUCAGCAAAAUUGGCAGAAGUCAGAAAUGUGUAAUCUCAGGCAUCCCUGCUGACUCAGUGGUAAAGAAUCUGCCUGCCAAUGCAAGAGACAUAGGUUUGAUCGAGAAAAAUCCCACACGCUGUGGAGCAGCUAAGUCCGCGCACCACGACCAUUGCUCCUGUAGAGCCCGGAGCCACAACCCCUGACGCCCGGGCCUCCCAGAGCCUGUCUCUGCAACAAGAGCGCGGGGGGCUUUCUUGGAGUGAAAGCUGCUCCCCCACAGCAUGGACAGUGCCUGAGAUGAGGCCCAGAUGGCCCUGCAAGCCUGACGGGGGAGCCACAGUCUUCAGUCACCGUGCAGGUGAGCAGUGAGCACCUCCGGGCAUCAGAGAGUCGUGGAGAGUCGUGGGGCCUGGAUUCCUGUCCUCAGGAAGCCCUGGGCCUAAGAGGGGCAUCAGACAAGAUGGAAGUGCCCCACCAUGUGGCACGUGCUCACUGAGAAAAGGCACACAGGACCAGAAGAAAGACAAGGAGUUACGACACAGCCCGAGGGAGUCAGGAAAAUCAGCAGAGCAGAUGGUUUUCAAGGCCCGAAGAUUCUUUUACUUGUCAGAAGCAGCACUCACCUGUGCCUCUCCCUGAUCAGGCCCAAACAAAUCAGCUGCCCUCACCUGAAAGGGUGUUAGUCUCUCAAUCAUGUCCCUGCGACCCCAUGGACUGCAGCCCACCAGGCUCCUUUGUCCAUGGGAUUUUCCAGGUAAGAAUACUGGAGUGGGUUGUCAUUUCCUUCUCCAGGGGAUCUUCUUGACUCAGAGAUCGAACCCAGGUCUCCUACAUUACAGGUGUAUUCUUUACCAUCUGAGCCACCAGGGACAUGCAUAAGAAACUGUUACCUCUCAAAACUGGGGUCAGAAGGUUGGGUGUGUGGUUCAGGCUCUACAAGGCAUUUCACAUUCUCCUAGUAUCUCCUCUUGUCUCCCUAUGAAGCUCUUACAUCUCAGGACACCUCUAACCAAUACCCUCUUUUGAUGGGAGCUAGUGCUCAGCGGUUAAUAUUUUCAGCCCAGAGAGACACAGCCUGUGCUUUAGACCAUGGCAAACCCUCCCAGCUAGCCCCAGUCCAUCCAAAUCUCUCCUGUUCCUCAGAUCCCAUGGCCAAGACAGUCCCUGAGUCUGUUCAGUGGACAAGCUCCCACAGUGUCCAGUGCUGAGGCUCCUCCCACCCCCGUGCCCCCUCGGCCCUGCACAAUGAGCCCGCACUCCUGGGAAUACAGGGUCCCCUGUGCGCUUCUUCCGGGGCUGCUGCUGGGCCUUCUUCCUCCUUCAACCAGAGCAGGGAGCUGGCUCGGGCAGGCCCAUGAGUAGGAGGAGGAGGGGACGAGCUGUCAGUCCCUCCAUCUCCUGCGUGCAAAGGCACUGGGGGCUGAGAGCAGGCUUGGCCUGCUCAGCGGUCAGGACUCGGGGUGCCUGCGGGGGAGGCUGAACCUACUGGGGAAUGGUGACAGUGUUGAUGGUGACAAGCUGUUUCCAUCUCUGUACGAGCUGGUCCAGUUCACCAAAUUCUCCCGAAACUAACACCCGUAUAUAAACACUCUUCCUCUGGCAACAGGGGGUGGGCUGAGUGUUUUCCAGGAAACUCCUCACUAACCUCUGGGAAAGAUUCUGACAGAGUCUCUGAUGAUGCAA